RNAcentral lists this transfer RNA (64 nucleotides) under Thyreus decorus. RNAcentral describes it as "tRNA-Cys". The record is from RNAcentral. Lineage: Eukaryota; Metazoa; Arthropoda; Insecta; Hymenoptera; Apidae.
AUUUCUAUAAUUUAUAAAAAAUAUUAAAUUGCAAAUUUAAAUUAAUGUUAAAACAUUAGAAAUU